Molecule: transfer RNA, 90 nt
Filed under: Pseudomonas aeruginosa
Lineage: Bacteria; Pseudomonadati; Pseudomonadota; Gammaproteobacteria; Pseudomonadales; Pseudomonadaceae
Also listed under: 21 other names
Description: tRNA-Ser(tga)
Rfam family: tRNA
About the family: Transfer RNA (tRNA) molecules are approximately 80 nucleotides in length. Their secondary structure includes four short double-helical elements and three loops (D, anti-codon, and T loops).
Source: RNAcentral
GGAGGUGUGGCCGAGUGGUUUAAGGCAACGGUCUUGAAAACCGUCGAUGGGGAGACCUAUCCUAGAGUUCGAAUCUCUACACCUCCGCCA